Molecule: ribosomal RNA, 2917 nt
Filed under: Escherichia coli
Lineage: Bacteria; Pseudomonadati; Pseudomonadota; Gammaproteobacteria; Enterobacterales; Enterobacteriaceae
Description: 23S ribosomal RNA
Rfam family: Bacterial large subunit ribosomal RNA
Source: RNAcentral
GGUUAAGCGACUAAGCGUACACGGUGGAUGCCCUGGCAGUCAGAGGCGAUGAAGGACGUGCUAAUCUGCGAUAAGCGUCGGUAAGGUGAUAUGAACCGUUAUAACCGGCGAUUUCCGAAUGGGGAAACCCAGUGUGUUUCGACACACUAUCAUUAACUGAAUCCAUAGGUUAAUGAGGCGAACCGGGGGAACUGAAACAUCUAAGUACCCCGAGGAAAAGAAAUCAACCGAGAUUCCCCCAGUAGCGGCGAGCGAACGGGGAGCAGCCCAGAGCCUGAAUCAGUGUGUGUGUUAGUGGAAGCGUCUGGAAAGGCGCGCGAUACAGGGUGACAGCCCCGUACACAAAAAUGCACAUACUGUGAGCUCGAUGAGUAGGGCGGGACACGUGGUAUCCUGUCUGAAUAUGGGGGGACCAUCCUCCAAGGCUAAAUACUCCUGACUGACCGAUAGUGAACCAGUACCGUGAGGGAAAGGCGAAAAGAACCCCGGCGAGGGGAGUGAAAAAGAACCUGAAACCGUGUACGUACAAGCAGUGGGAGCCUCUUAAUGGGGUGACUGCGUACCUUUUGUAUAAUGGGUCAGCGACUUAUAUUCUGUAGCAAGGUUAACCGAAUAGGGGAGCCGAAGGGAAACCGAGUCUUAACUGGGCGUUAAGUUGCAGGGUAUAGACCCGAAACCCGGUGAUCUAGCCAUGGGCAGGUUGAAGGUUGGGUAACACUAACUGGAGGACCGAACCGACUAAUGUUGAAAAAUUAGCGGAUGACUUGUGGCUGGGGGUGAAAGGCCAAUCAAACCGGGAGAUAGCUGGUUCUCCCCGAAAGCUAUUUAGGUAGCGCCUCGUGAAUUCAUCUCCGGGGGUAGAGCACUGUUUCGGCAAGGGGGUCAUCCCGACUUACCAACCCGAUGCAAACUGCGAAUACCGGAGAAUGUUAUCACGGGAGACACACGGCGGGUGCUAACGUCCGUCGUGAAGAGGGAAACAACCCAGACCGCCAGCUAAGGUCCCAAAGUCAUGGUUAAGUGGGAAACGAUGUGGGAAGGCCCAGACAGCCAGGAUGUUGGCUUAGAAGCAGCCAUCAUUUAAAGAAAGCGUAAUAGCUCACUGGUCGAGUCGGCCUGCGCGGAAGAUGUAACGGGGCUAAACCAUGCACCGAAGCUGCGGCAGCGACACUAUGUGUUGUUGGGUAGGGGAGCGUUCUGUAAGCCUGCGAAGGUGUACUGUGAGGUAUGCUGGAGGUAUCAGAAGUGCGAAUGCUGACAUAAGUAACGAUAAAGCGGGUGAAAAGCCCGCUCGCCGGAAGACCAAGGGUUCCUGUCCAACGUUAAUCGGGGCAGGGUGAGUCGACCCCUAAGGCGAGGCCGAAAGGCGUAGUCGAUGGGAAACAGGUUAAUAUUCCUGUACUUGGUGUUACUGCGAAGGGGGGACGGAGAAGGCUAUGUUGGCCGGGCGACGGUUGUCCCGGUUUAAGCGUGUAGGCUGGUUUUCCAGGCAAAUCCGGAAAAUCAAGGCUGAGGCGUGAUGACGAGGCACUACGGUGCUGAAGCAACAAAUGCCCUGCUUCCAGGAAAAGCCUCUAAGCAUCAGGUAACAUCAAAUCGUACCCCAAACCGACACAGGUGGUCAGGUAGAGAAUACCAAGGCGCUUGAGAGAACUCGGGUGAAGGAACUAGGCAAAAUGGUGCCGUAACUUCGGGAGAAGGCACGCUGAUAUGUAGGUGAAGUCCCUUGCGGAUGGAGCUGAAAUCAGUCGAAGAUACCAGCUGGCUGCAACUGUUUAUUAAAAACACAGCACUGUGCAAACACGAAAGUGGACGUAUACGGUGUGACGCCUGCCCGGUGCCGGAAGGUUAAUUGAUGGGGUUAGCGGUAACGCGAAGCUCUUGAUCGAAGCCCCGGUAAACGGCGGCCGUAACUAUAACGGUCCUAAGGUAGCGAAAUUCCUUGUCGGGUAAGUUCCGACCUGCACGAAUGGCGUAAUGAUGGCCAGGCUGUCUCCACCCGAGACUCAGUGAAAUUGAACUCGCUGUGAAGAUGCAGUGUACCCGCGGCAAGACGGAAAGACCCCGUGAACCUUUACUAUAGCUUGACACUGAACAUUGAGCCUUGAUGUGUAGGAUAGGUGGGAGGCUUUGAAGUGUGGACGCCAGUCUGCAUGGAGCCGGCCUUGAAAUACCACCCUUUAAUGUUUGAUGUUCUAACGUUGGCCCCUGAUCGGGGUUGCGGACAGUGUCUGGUGGGUAGUUUGACUGGGGCGGUCUCCUCCUAAAGAGUAACGGAGGAGCACGAAGGUUGGCUAAUCCUGGUCGGACAUCAGGAGGUUAGUGCAAUGGCAUAAGCCAGCUUGACUGCGAGCGUGACGGCGCGAGCAGGUGCGAAAGCAGGUCAUAGUGAUCCGGUGGUUCUGAAUGGAAGGGCCAUCGCUCAACGGAUAAAAGGUACUCCGGGGAUAACAGGCUGAUACCGCCCAAGAGUUCAUAUCGACGGCGGUGUUUGGCACCUCGAUGUCGGCUCAUCACAUCCUGGGGCUGAAGUAGGUCCCAAGGGUAUGGCUGUUCGCCAUUUAAAGUGGUACGCGAGCUGGGUUUAGAACGUCGUGAGACAGUUCGGUCCCUAUCUGCCGUGGGCGCUGGAGAACUGAGGGGGGCUGCUCCUAGUACGAGAGGACCGGAGUGGACGCAUCACUGGUGUUCGGGUUGUCAUGCCAAUGGCACUGCCCGGUAGCUAAAUGCGGAAGAGAUAAGUGCUGAAAGCAUCUAAGCACGAAACUUGCCCCGAGAUGAGUUCUCCCUGACUCNNNNNNNNNNNNNNNNNNNNNNNNNNNNNNNNNNNNNNNNNNNNNNNNNNNNNNNNNNNNNNNNNNNNNNNNNNNNNNNNNNNNNNNNNNNNNNNNNNNNNNGAGAGAAGAUUUUCAGCCUG